Molecule: ribosomal RNA, 815 nt
Filed under: Septoria sp.
Lineage: Eukaryota; Fungi; Ascomycota; Dothideomycetes; Mycosphaerellales; Mycosphaerellaceae
Description: partial large subunit ribosomal RNA
Rfam family: Eukaryotic large subunit ribosomal RNA
Source: RNAcentral
AUUGCCCUAGUAACGGCGAGUGAAGCGGCAACAGCUCAAAUUUGAAAUCUGGCGCAAGCCCGAGUUGUAAUUUGUAGAGGAUGCUUCUGGGUAGCGACCGAUCUAAGUUCCUUGGAACAGGACGUCAUAGAGGGUGAGAAUCCCGUAUGUGACCGGCCCGCACCCUUUACGUAGCUCCUUCGACGAGUCGAGUUGUUUGGGAAUGCAGCUCUAAAUGGGAGGUAAAUUUCUUCUAAAGCUAAAUACCGGCCAGAGACCGAUAGCGCACAAGUAGAGUGAUCGAAAGAUGAAAAGUACUUUGGAAAGAGAGUUAAAAAGCACGUGAAAUUGUUGAAAGGGAAGCGCCUGCAACCAGACUUCGCGGCAGUGUUCCGCCGGUCUUCUGACCGGUUCAUUCUCUGUCGCGAGGCCAUCAUCGUCUGGGCCCGCCGGAUAAGACCUUAGGAAUGUAGCUCACCUUCGGGGGAGUGUUAUAGCCUAGGGUGAUGCGGCGAGGCUCGGGCGAGGUCCGCGCUUCGGCAAGGAUGAUGGCGUAAUGGUUGUCGGCGGCCCGUCUUGAAACACGGACCAAGGAGUCUAACAUCUAUGCGAGUGUUCGGGUGUCAAACCCCUACGCGUAAUGAAAGUGAACGGAGGUGGGAACCGCAAGGUGCACCAUCGACCGAUCCUGAUGUCCUCGGAUGGAUUUGAGUAAGAGCAUAGCUGUUGGGACCCGAAAGAUGGUGAACUAUGCCUGAAUAGGGUGAAGCCAGAGGAAACUCUGGUGGAGGCUCGCAGCGGUUCUGACGUGCAAAUCGAUCGUCAAAUUUGGGUAU